GGUUAAGCGACUAAGCGUACACGGUGGAUGCCCUGGCAGUCAGAGGCGAUGAAGGACGUGCUAAUCUGCGAUAAGCGCCGGUAAGGUGAUAUGAACCGUUAUAACCGGCGAUUUCCGAAUGGGGAAACCCAGUGUGACUCGUCACACUAUCAUUAACUGAAUCCAUAGGUUAAUGAGGCGAACCGGGGGAACUGAAACAUCUAAGUACCCCGAGGAAAAGAAAUCAACCGAGAUUCCCCCAGUAGCGGCGAGCGAACGGGGAGGAGCCCAGAGCCUGAAUCAGCAUGUGUGUUAGUGGAAGCGUCUGGAAAGGCGCGCGAUACAGGGUGACAGCCCCGUACACAAAACGCAUGUGCUGUGAGCUCGAUGAGUAGGGCGGGACACGUGGUAUCCUGUCUGAAUAUGGGGGGACCAUCCUCCAAGGCUAAAUACUCCUGACUGACCGAUAGUGAACCAGUACCGUGAGGGAAAGGCGAAAAGAACCCCGGCGAGGGGAGUGAAAAAGAACCUGAAACCGUGUACGUACAAGCAGUGGGAGCCCCACCACCAAAGCAUUCUCUGGUGUUGAAGGCCCUGCAAAGCAGCAUCGCGGUGGCGGAGCGUCGUUUGCGACGCCCAACACACAAAACAAGCGGUGAGUGCUUUGGGGUGGGGUGACUGCGUACCUUUUG
Molecule: ribosomal RNA, 671 nt
Filed under: Salmonella enterica
Lineage: Bacteria; Pseudomonadati; Pseudomonadota; Gammaproteobacteria; Enterobacterales; Enterobacteriaceae
Description: partial 23S ribosomal RNA
Rfam family: Bacterial large subunit ribosomal RNA
Source: RNAcentral